UGGCAAAAUAAAUUUGUCGUAAUCUUUUACGGUUGCGAAGGAGUAGUGGCCACAAGAAAAACAGUGUUUGGGGAGAUAACUCUUACAAGGUAAAGUAUUUUGUUACGCGGUUGUCAGUUUCAGAAGCGUAUUAACUGUUCGAUAUCAUAUUCCAAAUAUCUAAGCGACAUCUUGUGAAACAAAAAAACAGCCAAGGAAAAAAAAGUUGGCGGAAGAAAAAAAAAAAUAAUAAUAAUAAUUAAAAAACCAAUUGUUCAGAAGAACAAUUGAAGGUCUUUCCAACCAAUAAGGAGAUCUAUUUUGAUAUGAAAAUAUUAAAAUUCAGUUUAAAAAUGUCAGUUCCUAUGGCUUUAUGAUGUAUUUAAUAUGAAUUUAAAGCAAAGGUCAAAAUCUAGAACGUCCAAUUAACCUAUGACCUUGACCUCAAUUUCAAGGUCAUAAACAAAGGAUCCUCAAAUCAAAAGACCCUAGGUCUUUAAUAUGUAUGGUUCAUGAGUAAUAUCACUUUACGCAUAAUUCUAAAUAUAAGAGGGGCAAAAACUCCCAUUUAUUGUCUACGCACCCUUUCAACCAAAAUUUAUAAGUUACGACAUGUCGCAACUAACAAUUUAGUAAAAAUAAUUUGUCGAUAUCUUAUAAGGUAUUUGAAAAUAAGUGAAAAUAAGCCAAAAUCAAAAUUUAGAAUUUGACCUUGACCUUUGACCUUGACCUAAUUUUCAUUUUUUUGGACCAAGGAUCUUAAAUCAAAAGACCCUAGGUCUCUAUCACUUAUGGUUUACCAGUUAGAAAUGCAUAUCACUUAUAUCAAAUAUAAAAGGGGGAAUAACUCUCAUAUGGAGUCUCCGGAUAGCUUCGGUCAAAUGAAACAGAACAUCCUGAAGGAUGUAACGAGCAAUUUGGUAAAAAUAAAUUUGUCGUUUCUUUUACGGUUGCGAAGGAGUAGUGGCCACAAGAAAAACAGUGUUUGGGGAGAUAACUCUUACAAGGUAAAGUAUUUUGUUACGCGGUUGUCAAUUUUUAGAAGCGUAUAAACUGUUCGAUAUCAUAUACCAAAUAUCUAAGCGACAUCUUUUGAAACAUCAAAAACGCAAGGAAAAAAAAUUAGGCGGAAGAAAAAAAAAAAAUAAUAAUAGAACAAAUAAGGUCUUUCAAAAAAAGACCUAAUAAUAAUUAAAAACCAAUUGUUCAAAGAACAAUUGAAGGUCUUUCAACCAAUAAGGAUCUAUUUUGAUAUGAAAAUAUUAAAAUUCAGUUGAAAAUGUCAGUUCCUAUGGCUUUAUGAUGUAUAAAUAUGAAUUUCGAAGCAAAGGUCAAAAUCUAGAACGUCCAAUUAACCUAUGACCUUGACCUCAAUUUCAAGGUCAUAGACUAAGGAUCUCAAAUCAAAAGACACUAGUUCCUUAAUAUGUAUGGUUCAUGAGUAAUAUCACUUUACGCAUAAUUCUAAAUAUAAGAGGGGCGAAAAACUCCCAUUUAUUGUCUACGCACCCUUGCAACCAAAAUUUAUAAGUUACGACAUGUCGCAACUAACAAUUUAGUAAAAAUAAUUUGUCGAUAUCUUAUAAAGGUUAAUGAAAAUAAGUGAAAAUAAGCCAAAAUCAAAAUUUAGAAUUUGACCUUGACCUUUGACCUUGACCUAAUUUUCAUUUUUUUGGACCAAGGAUCUUAAAUCAAAAAGACCCUAGGUCUCUAUCACUUAUGGUUUACCAGUUAGAAAUGCAUAUCACUUAUAUCAUAUAUAAAAGGGGGAUAACUCUCAUAUGGAGUCUCCGGAUAGCUUCGGUCAAAAUGAAACAGAACAUCCUGAGGAUAUAACGAGCAAUUUGGAAAAAUAAAUUUGUCGGUUUCUUAUACGGUUGCGAAGGAGUAGUGGCCACAAGAAAAACAGUGUUCGGGGAGAUAACUCUUACAAGGUAAAGUUUUUUGUUACGCGGUGUCAGUUUCAGAAGCGUAUUAACUGUUCGAUAUCAUAUACCAAAUAUCUAAGCGACAUCUUGUGAAACAAAAAAACAGCGAAGGAAAAAAAAGUUGGCGGAAGAAAAAAAAAAAAAAUAAUAA
This 2058-nucleotide long non-coding RNA is filed under the name Mytilus galloprovincialis (Mediterranean mussel). The record is from RNAcentral. Lineage: Eukaryota; Metazoa; Mollusca; Bivalvia; Mytilida; Mytilidae.